RNAcentral lists this ribosomal RNA (253 nucleotides) under uncultured bacterium. Its description in RNAcentral is "partial 16S ribosomal RNA". It matches the Rfam family "Bacterial small subunit ribosomal RNA", at positions 524 to 776 of the family's 1533-position model. The record is from RNAcentral.
UACGGAGGAUCCAAGCGUUAUCCGGAUUCAUUGGGUUUAAAGGGUGCGCAGGCGGAAUGAUAAGUCAGUGGUGAAAUCUUAUGGCUCAACUGUAAAACUGCCAUUGAUACUGUCAUUCUUGAGUACACUUGGAGUGGGCGGAAUGUGUCAUGUAGCGGUGAAAUGCUUAGAUAUGACACAGAACACCGAUCGCGAAGGCAGCUCACUAAGUUGUAACUGACGCUCAGGCACGAAAGCGUGGGGAUCAAACAGG